Molecule: transfer RNA, 73 nt
Filed under: Candidatus Daviesbacteria bacterium
Lineage: Bacteria; Candidatus Daviesiibacteriota
Description: tRNA-Ile
Rfam family: tRNA
About the family: Transfer RNA (tRNA) molecules are approximately 80 nucleotides in length. Their secondary structure includes four short double-helical elements and three loops (D, anti-codon, and T loops).
Source: RNAcentral
GGGCAAUUAGCUCAGUGGUUAGAGCACUUAUCUGAUAAGUAAGGGGUCGAUGGUUCGAUUCCAUCAUUGCCCA